RNAcentral lists this ribosomal RNA (433 nucleotides) under uncultured bacterium. RNAcentral describes it as "partial 16S ribosomal RNA". It matches the Rfam family "Bacterial small subunit ribosomal RNA", at positions 29 to 507 of the family's 1533-position model. The record is from RNAcentral.
AACGAACGCUGGCGGCAUGCUUAACACAUGCAAGUCGAACGAGAUCUUCCGAUCUAGUGGCGCACGGGUGCGUACCGCGUGGGAAUCUGCCCCUUGCUUCCGAAUCACAGAGAGAAAUUACUGCUAAUACAGGAUGAGGUCUUCGCACCAAAGAUGUAUGGGCAUGGGAUGAGCCCGCGUAGGUUUAGGUGGUUGGUGGUGUAAUCGCAUACCAACCCGACGAUCCUGAGCUGGUCGGAGAGGAUGAUCAGCAACACUGGGACUGCGACACGGCCCAGACUCCGACGGAAGAGUGGGGUGGAUAAUAUUGUAGAAGGAGCGAAGACCUGGUCCAGCCAUGCGGCGGGAGAGGUGAAGGGCUUAGGGUUGUAAAGCUCUUUUUCCAGGGAUGAUAGUGACAGUACCUGGAGAAUAAGCACCGGCUAACUCCGUG